GAACUGUCCGCCGGCGAACAAUAGCGUGUUCGCGUUUGGCGAACAUAUCCGAUUUCCGGUCCGCCCCCUAUACGUCAUCAUUGAGUUUAAAUUUGACCCGGAACCUCACAGUCAGCAGACACUUCCUGGGAGGGAGGGUCUGCUGCUGAUUGGGUGGAAUGUGUCUGCUGGCGGACCGGAAAUCGGAUAUGUUCGCCCAACGCGAACACGCUAUUGUUCGUCGGCGGACAGUUC
Molecule: non-coding RNA, 234 nt
Organism: Pelobates cultripes (western spadefoot toad)
Lineage: Eukaryota; Metazoa; Chordata; Amphibia; Anura; Pelobatidae
Source: the annotation of a GenBank genome assembly